RNAcentral lists this ribosomal RNA (468 nucleotides) under uncultured bacterium. RNAcentral describes it as "partial 16S ribosomal RNA". It matches the Rfam family "Bacterial small subunit ribosomal RNA", at positions 28 to 507 of the family's 1533-position model. The record is from RNAcentral.
GACGAACGCUGGCGGCGUGCUUAACACAUGCAAGUCGAACGGAAAGGCCCUGCUUUUGUGGGGUGCUCGAGUGGCGAACGGGUGAGUAACACGUGAGUAACCUGCCCUUGACUUUGGGAUAACUUCAGGAAACUGGGGCUAAUACCGGAUAGGAGCUCCUGCUGCAUGGUGGGGGCUGGAAAGUUUCGGCGGUUGGGGAUGGACUCGCGGCUUAUCAGCUUGUUGGUGGGGUAGUGGCUUACCAAGGCUUUGACGGGUAGCCGGCCUGAGAAGGUGACCGGCCACAUGGGAACUGAGAUACGAACCAGACUCCUACGGGAGGCAGCAGUGGGGAAUAUGGCACAGUGGGCGGGAGCCUGAUGCAGCAGCGCUGCGUGCGGGAUGACGGCCUUCGGGUUGUAAACCGCUUUCGCCUGUGACGAAGCGUGAGUGACGGUAAUGGGUAAAGAAGCACCGGCUAACUACGUG